This is a long non-coding RNA of Solanum lycopersicum (tomato), 773 nucleotides long. RefSeq lists it as uncharacterized. NCBI's taxonomy places the organism in Eukaryota, Viridiplantae, Streptophyta, Magnoliopsida, Solanales, Solanaceae. The record is from RefSeq and is a predicted model, not a curated record.
UUAAGUGAAAAAAUCAAAUCAAGAGCAACAAACAAAGGCUAUAAAUACUGGGAAAUAUUUAGAAUAAGAUCAAAUUAAAAUUCUUUUCAUGGGAGUUUUUGAAUUUAUUCAACAAAAAUGGUAACCAAGAAAAUAAUAUUACUAUUAUUUUUGGCCUUCUACUUUUCAUGUGGAUUUUAUCAAGCCAAUGUAUUUGAACAACUUAACAACAAUCAUAAUAUUGAUGGAGAUACAAUCAUAACAAGUAACAAGAACAAAUAUGGCCAUGGUGCAGAGUCUCAUGUUGUUGGUGCUAGAGGAAGUGGAGGCGAAGUAAAUGGCGAUGGCUAUCGAUCUCCGGGAUCGUCGAAUUUCAUACCAAUUUAUGCUGCAAAUGCUCAUAACAAUCACCAUCGUGGUGGUGCAAGCAACCACAAGAGCCACAAUGUAUAUCUAGCCUUAUUCACUAUAAUGUUCUUCGUGUACCUUUGUAUUUAAACAGUACCAGUGUUUUAAAAGGCAGGGGCGUGAGAUGCUAUGAUGCUCAUAUUGUGCCUAUGUCUUGAUCUACUUAGGUUAAAAUUGUGUUUUGGUUGUUGUAAAUGAAAAAAAGUUGAAAAACAUGUUGACAUAUAUAUGUGUAGUGUUUGUUGUUGUUUUUGGUUAGAUUUUGAAUAAUUAGGGUAGAGAUGCAUUAUUAGGAUGUGUAUUAUGUCUUUCCUCUUUUUUUCUACUAAACUUUUCUUUGUAUAAGAUGUUUGAUUUGAUUUGAUAUUCAUAAGUUUAUUAUCUCA